Long non-coding RNA from Phyllostomus discolor (pale spear-nosed bat), 141 nucleotides. RefSeq lists it as uncharacterized. The transcript has 3 exons. NCBI's taxonomy places the organism in Eukaryota, Metazoa, Chordata, Mammalia, Chiroptera, Phyllostomidae. The record is from RefSeq and is a predicted model, not a curated record.
GCCACCUUCACCAUCAGCCCUGUGACCUGUGGCCACAAUGGGACCUACAGGUGCUACAGCUCACACAGCUCCUCCCUCUUCCAGGUGUCACAGCCCAGUGACCCCCUGGAGCUCCUGGUCUCAGGGCUGUGGUGGGGUCCC